AAAGAUCCCAUGGUACUCAUCGUAAGAGUAGGGGUGUUAACCCCGGUGUCCUGACUCUCUGUGGUCACUAAAGAUCCCAUGGUACUCAUCGUAAGAGUAGGGGUGUGAACCCCGGUGUCCUGACUCUCCAUGGUCACUAAAGAUCCCAUGGUUCUCAUCGUAAGAGUAGGGGUGUUAACCCAGGUGUCCUGGCUCUCUGUGGUCACUAAAGAUCCCAUGGUACUCAUCGUAAGAGUAGGGGUGUUAACCCCGGUGUCCUGGCUCUCCGUGGUCACUAAAGAUCCCAUGGUACUCAUCGUAAGAGUAGGGGUGUUAACCCCGGUGUCCUGGCUCUCUGUGGUCACUAAAGAUCCCAUGGUACUCAUCGUAAGAGUAGGGGUGUUAACCCGGGUGUCCUGACUCUCUGUGGUCACUAAAGAUCCCAUGGUACUCAUCGUAAGAGUAGGGGUGUUAACCCCGGUGUCCUGGCUCUCCGUGGUCACUAAAGAUCCCAUGGUACUCAUCGUAAGAGUAGGGGUGUUAACCCCGGUGUCCUGGCUCUCCAUGGUCAC
Long non-coding RNA from Oncorhynchus keta (chum salmon), 551 nucleotides. RefSeq lists it as uncharacterized. Lineage: Eukaryota; Metazoa; Chordata; Actinopteri; Salmoniformes; Salmonidae. The transcript has 3 exons. The record is from RefSeq and is a predicted model, not a curated record.